This 301-nucleotide ribosomal RNA is filed under the name uncultured bacterium. Its description in RNAcentral is "partial 16S ribosomal RNA". It matches the Rfam family "Bacterial small subunit ribosomal RNA", at positions 509 to 807 of the family's 1533-position model. The record is from RNAcentral.
CAGUCGCCGCGGUAAUACGAAGGGUGCAAGCGUUAAUCGGAAUUACUGGGCGUAAAGCGUGCGUAGGUGGUGAGUUAAGUCUGAUGUGAAAGCCCUGGGCUCAACCUGGGAAUUGCAGUGGAUACUGGGUCACUAGAGUGUGGUAGAGGAUAGUGGAAUUUCCGGUGUAGCAGUGAAAUGCGUAGAGAUCGGAAGGAACAUCUGUGGCGAAGGCGACUAUCUGGGCCAACACUGACACUGAGGCACGAAAGCGUGGGGAGCAAACAGGAUUAGAUACCCGCGUAGUCCCUGUCUCUUAUAC